This 619-nucleotide ribosomal RNA is filed under the name uncultured bacterium. RNAcentral describes it as "bacterial SSU rRNA". It matches the Rfam family "Bacterial small subunit ribosomal RNA", at positions 94 to 743 of the family's 1533-position model. The record is from RNAcentral.
AGUGGCGGACGGGUGAGUAAUGCGUGGGAAUCUGCCCAGUAGUUGGGAACAACUUCCGGAAACGGGAGCUAAUACCGAAUACGCCCUACGGGGGAAAGGCUUCGGCCGCUAUUGGAUGAGCCCGCGUAAGAUUAGCUUGUUGGUGGGGUAAUGGCCUACCAAGGCGACGAUCUUUAGCUGGUCUGAGAGGACGAUCAGCCACACUGGGACUGAGACACGGCCCAGACUCCUACGGGAGGCAGCAGUGGGGAAUAUUGGACAAUGGGGGAAACCCUGAUCCAGCAAUGCCGCGUGUGUGAAGAAGGCCUGCGGGUUGUAAAGCACUUUCAGUAGGGAAGAAAUCAAUGACGGUACCUACAAAAGAAGCACCGGCUAACUCCGUGCCAGCAGCCGCGGUAAUACGGAGGGUGCGAGCGUUAAUCGGAAUUACUGGGCGUAAAGCGUACGUAGGUGGUUUGGUAAGUCGGAUGUGAAAUCCCCGGGCUCAACCUGGGAAUUGCAUUCGAAACUGCUUUACUAGAGUCUAGCAGAGGGAUGGGGAAUUCCGGGUGUAGCGGUGAAAUGCGUAGAGAUCCGGAGGAACAUCAGUGGCGAAGGCGCCAUCCUGGGCUAAGACUGA